UGGUGUAAAACUCAUGUGGAAGAGUAAUAAGCUUUUAACUUAUAAGCAGUUGGUUCGACUCCAGCUACACCAG
RNAcentral lists this transfer RNA (73 nucleotides) under Halichondria panicea. RNAcentral describes it as "tRNA-Lys". It matches the Rfam family "tRNA". From Rfam's summary of the family: Transfer RNA (tRNA) molecules are approximately 80 nucleotides in length. Their secondary structure includes four short double-helical elements and three loops (D, anti-codon, and T loops). Further hydrogen bonds mediate the characteristic L-shaped molecular structure. tRNAs have two regions of fundamental functional importance: the anti-codon, which is responsible for specific mRNA codon recognition, and the 3' end, to which the tRNAs corresponding amino acid is attached (by aminoacyl-tRNA synthetases). tRNAs cope with the degeneracy of the genetic code in two manners: having more than one tRNA (with a specific anti-codon) for a particular amino acid; and 'wobble' base-pairing, i.e. permitting non-standard base-pairing at the 3rd anti-codon position. RNAcentral also lists the same sequence under 6 other names. Lineage: Eukaryota; Metazoa; Porifera; Demospongiae; Suberitida; Halichondriidae. The record is from RNAcentral.